RNAcentral lists this ribosomal RNA (449 nucleotides) under uncultured bacterium. RNAcentral describes it as "bacterial SSU rRNA". It matches the Rfam family "Bacterial small subunit ribosomal RNA", at positions 329 to 795 of the family's 1533-position model. The record is from RNAcentral.
UGCCAGACUCCUACGGGAGGCAGCAGUGGGGGAUAUUGCACAAUGGGGGGAACCCUGAUGCAGCGACGCCGCGUGGGUGAAGGAGUGCUUCGGCAUGUAAAGCCCUAUCGGCAGGGAAGAAGCAAGACGGUACCUGACUAAGAAGCCCCGGCUAACUACGUGCCAGCAGCCGCGGUAAUACGUAGGGAGCAAGCGUUGUCCGGAAUUACUGGGUGUAAAGGGAGCGUAGGCGGGAUGGCAAGUUGGGUGUUAAAUCUACCGGCUCAACUGGUAGUCGCACUCAAAACUGCUAUUCUUGAGUGAAGUAGAGGCAGGCGGAAUUCCUAGUGUAGCGGUGAAAUGCGUAGAUAUUAGGAGGAACACCAGUGGCGAAGGCGGUCUGCUGGACAGCAACUGACGGUGAGGCGCGAAAGCGUGGGGAGCAAACAGGAUUAGAUACCCUUGUACCU